UCUUAAUUAUUUUUUCAUCUUUUCUUAUUUAAGAUUAACUUUCUUUGUCUGUUGGUUGGUUUUUCUUUGAGCUCUCUCUCUCUCUCUCUCUCUCUCUCUCUCUAAAGGCCAGAGAUGAUAUCUUGUUGACUCUUAUGAUAGAUACAAAUGUUCAAAACCUCUACUUUUUCUUUCUUAUUAUCUAUAUCGACUGCUUGUAGCCAUUUUUUUGAUCAUGUCAUCCUUUUCUUUGAGGUAAAGGCAAGAUUCAUUGAAACUGCUUAUAGGUCAGGAGUAGUGGCUUAUGCAUCGUGGUAGAUUCAUGUGAAUAUAUAGUUAAUUGUCUGCACAUUUGAUGUCAAAUUAGGAAUGGCAGCGUUAUUAUGAGAUGUGAGAAGUUCUGAAGUAGUGAUCUUGAUUUUAGGAUGUACAAAUGGUCGGCUCAGUUCUGAACCGAAUUAAAAUAAUUGAAACCAAAAUUUAUUAAAAAUUAUAACUGCAUCGAGUCAAAUCGAACUAUUUCAGUUCAAAGUUUGGUUACAUGAAUCGGUUCCUCCCAUCCCAAUCUUAUUCUCAGAAGUUUGUGUUAAAUCUUUUAUUCUCAAAAGUUAGAAUAUGAAUUUCUCUACCAUUUGUAGAAAAGAGAGAACACACAAGUUAGAAUCUCAAGUUCUCAGCCAUUUACAUCUCAAUUUCUUAGUUACAAUGUAUAUGUUGAGAGAAAGAAGAAGAAAGAAAAACACUUGAGAUAAAAUUAAUCAGAACAAUAACAUAUUGAAAUUGUCUAUUCUCCAUCUAUUCAAUUGCAAAUACAACUAAAUUUCACAAAUUGCAAAUAAAAAAUCACAAAUCUAAUUAUACACCCAAAUCAAUCCCAAAUGGCGACAUGGUCAGCAAGCAAGGGUAGAGGUGGAAGAUGCGACAAUAGUUGGUGGUGGACUGCGUCUGUGUUGAUGAAAUUAGUAAAUUACUAGACUCAGAUUUGAUGUCAUGCAGUCAUGGUGAAGCCAUCAGCGGCUGGCUGUCUUAAGAAGAAAGCAAGCUCCUUCAAUCUUCAUCAUCAAACCAAAAGGUCGACUAAAAAAUCACCUUGAGAAAGUGUUGACCAACAUAAUUCUGUCCUAAUUAGGCAGAUCACAACCCUCUUUAGGAAGAUCUCAUGGAUCCUAAUUAGGCUUAAUUGUAGACAUUUUAUUCUUUGCCUUUAGUGUAAAUAUUCCUAAUUAGAUGUGAUUCUUUGUAUAUAAAUAUCCAAAACUUAUAAAGAUCAAAUCAAUCGAAAUAGGAACUGAAAAUUUCUCCCAAAAUUCUUCAUGGUAUCAGAGUAUAUACCUGAUAUAGGAUUACAAUUCAAUUUUGAAUCUUCAAAACUCUAGGCAAUCAAAUUUGGUACUCUCCUACCUAGGCUUGUUUUUCUUCGACACUGCCACUUCUAGAAGACUCACCACCUCCUCAUUGGUAGUUACCCAUACUCCGACAUCAUUUUGUCGGCACGUGAUGCUGUUCCUGGUGAACUUUUUCCCGUCCGGUCAUUGCGGUCUCUUCCAACCUUCUGUUUCUGGCCUAUUUCUGCUGGUUCUUGUUGAGUUGGGUGUUGAUUGGGUAUUUCUUUUUGUUAGGCAGCCUCUCUUUCAUUAUUGUGCUUGCUUUGUUGCUGUUUUCUAACUUGUCAGACAAGAAAAUGGCUAGUGUGGAUAAUGUACGUACUUCGUACAAUGCUUUCAUUUCGUCUCUUGAUACUGCUUUAUGAAUUAUUGAUUUUAGAGCAAAUAGACACAUGACAAACUCUUCUAAAGGCUUCCUUAGUUAUCUUCUAUGUCUAAACAAGGAUAAUGUCAAAAUAGCAUAUGGUUCUGUCACUCCUGUUGGAUGUACUCCUAAUAUUAAACUAUCCUCUAUUCUUCACGUUCCUCAUUUCCCUAUUAAUUUUUUAUCUGUCAUUGCUCUUAUCAAAGCUCUUAACUAUAAAAUUGAAUUUUUUUUUUCUGACCAUUGUGUUAUUUAGAACCUUCAAAUCGGGACGAGGAUUGACAAUGAUAGACUGUAUGAUGGCUUAUAUAUAUUGAAAGAGAAUCCAGGUUCUAGUUCAUCUUAGGCUUUUGUUUGGAGAAAUAUGUUUUAGAAAAACUUUAUCCUAGUUUAUUUUUCAAAACUCAGUUUAGUUUUUUAUUUUGUUAUGCUUGUGAGUAUGUUAAGUAUACAAUACAAGAACCUCUUAUCCUUCAAGUAACAAAGGAGUAUGAUCUUUUUGUGACUAUUCACUUUGAUGUUGGGGAUCUACUCAGACCAUCUCGCUAUUUGGUAAUCACAAGUUUAUUACUUCAUUGAUUGUUGCACUCGUAUGACUUUGGGUUUAUUUGAUAAAGAUAAUGAGUGAAGUAUUUUUUUGCUUUCAAUCAUAUCACAAGAUGAUUUGUACUCAAUUUGAUGCUAAAAUAAAAGUUUUGAGAACUGAUAAUGGCACACAAUACAUGGAUAGUUAUUUUUUUGUUUAUAUGGAAUCUAAUGAGAUACUAUAUCAAAUUAGUUGUCUUUACACUAGUGUCCAAAAUAGUGUCCAAAAUAGUGUUGCUGAAAGAAAAAAUAAGCAAUUGUGGAAGUAGCUAGAUGUCUUUUUUCCACCAUGAAUCUUCCUAAACUGAUUGGAGAGAUGUAGUCUUAGCCGUAAUGUAUCUCAUUAAUAAAAUGUCUCUAAAAGGUUUUGCCUUUAAAAAAGCCUUAUAGAGGUGUUACAAGGAGAAAACAUUUAUACUAUUCCACCAAAAGUGUUUUGGGUGCAUGUGUUUUAUUCAUUUUAUGACAACUGGGAAAUUGGAUCGGAGGGCUCUUAAAUGUGUGUCGGGUACUCUCUCACAUAGAAGAGUUAAGUGUUACCAUCCCCCAUUUAGAAAAUAUUUUGUCAGUAUGGAUGUUACAUUUAAAGAAAUUGAACCUUACUUUAGCACCACCUAAUAAUCUCUUCAGGAGGAGAGCAAUGAGAGAAAAGAAAUGAUUCAUAGUUUUGUGACCGAAGAAUUUUACUCAGGAGGAGACUACUGUAUAAAGGACUACUAUUGGUCAGGGAGAGAUAAUUGGACAUUUGGACAAACCAAAUUUAAGGAGAUACUUAAAAAGAGAUAAAACAGAAGCAGAAAAAGCCAUUGUAUAGCUUACUCUGUGUCCAGAAUCUUCCUCUUCUCCAUCUGGUGAGUUAUCUCUAGCCCUUAAGUCUUUUGAUGAUCUAAAUAAACUAAUUGCUCAAGGAAAAAGAGUUAGGUCUUGCACUAAAUAUUUUAUUUCUAACUCUCUCUUAUGAUUCUCUUUCUCCAUCCUAUAGAGCCUGUGUCUUGUCUAUUUUCUCUAUAUCUAUUCCAUAUGAUUGAAAAGAAACUCUCAAAGAUUCUAAGUAGAAAGGAGCUAUGGUUGAAGAAAUGAAAGCCUUGGCUAAAAAUAAGGUUUGAGAGUUGGUAUCUGUUCCACCUGGAGAAAAACUAGUUAGCUGUAAGUGGGUGUUCGCUGUGAAACACAAAAUAGACGGGUCAAUUGAAAGAUUCAAGGUCAGACUAGUUGCCAAGGUACCCAAACCUAUAGAGUGGAUUACCAAGAGACAUUCACUCUUGUUGCCAAAAUGAAUUCAAUUAGACCAUUGCUAUCUUGCGCUGCCAAUCUUGAUUGAGACCUACAAUAAUUUAAUAUGAAAAAUGCAUUCCUCCAUGGAGACUUAGAGAAAGAAGUGUAUAUGGAAAUCCCUUCUGAAUUUGCUAACGAAGAUUCUGUAUAGGGUUAAAGUGGUCACCCAGAACUUAGUUUGACCAAUUCAGCAAAUCUAUGGUUUCUUUUUGCUAUCAACAGAGCAAUGUUGAUUAUACCCUGUUUAUCGGACCUCAUAGGGUAAAAUUACUUUUGUCAUAGUUUAUGUUAGGACAUGAUAAUGAUAGGAAAUGACAAAGAAGAGAUGAAUUGAUUGAAAAAGCUUCUGGCUUAGGAAUUCAAAAUUAAAGAUAUGGGAAAACUCCGGUAUUUUAUGAGAAUUGAGGUUGCUAGAUCAAAGAAGGGAAUCUUUAUCUCAAAAAAAAAAAAUACAUUAUGGAUUUCUUGAAAGAAAUUAGCAUGUUAGGUUGUAAACUAGUAGAAACUACUAUUGAGAGCAAUCACAAGUUACAAAAAGGGAUCGGUGAACUAGUAGACGUCGGCAGAUAUCAGAGAUUGGUAUGCAGAUUAAUUUAUCUUUCGCAUAUUUGACCAAAUAUCACAUAUACAGUUAGCUUAGUCAGUCAAUUUAUGUAUGUCUUUAGGAACCUCACAUGCAAGCUGUCUUUCGUAUUUUGUGAUACUCAAAGUCUGCCCCUGCAAAAAGUCUCUUGUUCUCCAAACAUGGUCAUCUUCGAAUAAAUGCAUUCACAUAUGCAAAUUGAACUGGAUCUCUUGAUAAUAAGAUGGCAACUAUUGGUUACUGUACACUCGUGGACACUUGGAGAAGUAAGAAGUAAAGUAUUGUUACUCGAUCAAGUGCUGAAACUGAGUAUAGGGCUAUGGUACAAGGUAUUUGCAAACUCCUGUUGUUGCAAAGAUUGUUUGAGGAGUUGAAAUUAUUGGAAAGGGACAAAUUGCUCUUGUAAUGUGACAAUAAAGCUGCCAUCAGUAUAGCCACCAACUAGCUGAUGUGUUUACCAAAGGACUCAACAAAAAGACCUAUUACACUUGGAUUUGAAAUGGGGUAAAAAUACCAGCAGCAAGAGUUGAAUUGAUAACCAUUAUGUCUCAAACAGCUGCUUCAUCUCUUUGCAAGAGAUGGCUAUUAUGUCUUAUUUAUCUGUCAAUUGGUAUAUAUCAGUUUGUUUUAUUGGUUUUUUCCCCCAUUACUGAACUGAACAGAAACUGAACUGAAAAAGUUCAAAAUUGAUUAGUUUGGUUGGUUUUUUCAGUUUGAAAUGAAUUUUGUCUGCUCUUAGUUGAUUUGCCUAAAAUUGUUGGGGAUGAGGCGAAGAUGAGUAAAGGUCAGUUUAAAGUCGUGGGCAGGAAUUAGGGGUGUGUGGUUUUGGUUUCGCUUUAGUAUAUUAAUAGGAAAGGGAACUGAGCCAAACUGAACUUUCAGUACCGUUCCAAUCGAUUCUUCCAUACUUUGGUUCCAGGUUAGUUCUGGAUAUUUAUGUUCUGGUUCAGUUCGGUCCAUUUUCCAAAGUAAUUUUAUGGAAUUGUUGUCAUGGAAAGUUGUACCUGGAUUACUAUUUAAUUUUUAAAGUUGGUUGCUAAUCUAUAAUACAUCAUAUAAUAUACUUUAACUUAUUUCUUAAUUGGAUAGGUUUUAAUAUUGAGGUGCAUAUAUAGCUAAUGCUUGAAACACAUUGUAUGAUAUAAUAUGCUGCUACACCUACACUUAUAACUAAGAAGUAUAAGGUGAUUUAAUGUAUUUAUAAUUAAAACUUUCAACGGAAGGUAGAUGAGUGAAAGGCAGCUAUUAGGUUGUCUAGUAAAUAAUCACAAUAUCGUGUGUGUGUGUGUGUGUGUGUGUGUGUGUGUAUGGAUAUACACAAUUGGAGUAUUGAGCAGUGUAGAUUCUAGGAACAACAUAUUCACAAGAUUAGCAUGUUGAAAUGAGGAUGGGAAGAGAAUGUGUGAAGAUACAGGCAUAAAGCAAAUGACGGAUGCAUUUGUAGGAAACUAGGAGUUGCACCGAUUAAGGAAAACUGGAUAGAAGGGAUGCUGAACCAAUUUGAGUAUGUGCAUCAUAGAAUUGAUUGAACUGGAGGAAGUGAACUGAUAUAGCCGACUCCUUUUGUAUUUUGGUAUUGUGGAAAACUUUAAAGGGGUUUGCUAGGGUGAACCCUUCUACAUCACGAGACGUGUGCUUGACCACCUUGCUACUGGCUUCAUGGCAUUGUAGAUGACUUCAACUAGUUUGGGAUAAUGCUUAGUGUAGCUUAAUUAUUGAAAGAAUGACAUGGAACUAUUAACAAGGAGA
Molecule: long non-coding RNA, 5920 nt
Organism: Manihot esculenta (cassava)
Lineage: Eukaryota; Viridiplantae; Streptophyta; Magnoliopsida; Malpighiales; Euphorbiaceae
Exons: 2
Source: RefSeq, a predicted model, not a curated record